Molecule: long non-coding RNA, 841 nt
Organism: Rana temporaria (common frog)
Lineage: Eukaryota; Metazoa; Chordata; Amphibia; Anura; Ranidae
Exons: 4
Source: RefSeq, a predicted model, not a curated record
AUGACAUCUGCCGUGAUCACCACGCCCAUCUUAGAGUGAGGAGCUGCCCCCUACUCAGCUGUGUAUCAUCUCACUCUGAUUGAGGGCAGCUUAUUAGUGAGCCGCACAGCUGAUGUGUCAGCGUGAGCUCUGCCAGAGGAAUCAUUCCUUGGUAUACAGAGGCAACAGCAGGUCAUAGGUAUGCUUUCAUCUACCAUUGUCUUAUCAUUAUUUCAUUUUUCUUCCUUCCAAGUUUAAUUCAUUAUUCACAACAAUCUGGAUGUGAUACUUUGUUGCCACUUGCAGACUUUGUGAAAAUAUACUUUUUACUCACUUAUCUGUCAACACUGAGGAAAUAUUUUUUCCUGGAUUGACUUUCUUUCUUUUAUUUUUCACUAUCUAGUAUCUGGACUAUACAGAUCUCUUGGGCAAUUUAUCUGCCCUAUUCCCGGCAGUUAUUAUUGCAACUAGAAUCAGUAUUGACAGAAAUCUCUUGGGAUGAAUUAUAUCCAUCUCUUCUGAGACUACCUCAUCAUCAAUCUUCCCAUUUUUUCUAUCAUCAUUUUAAUCAGUACCUGCUUGCCUCCGGCUCCUCUUCCUCUAUAGGCUUGCAUCCAGGCUCUGUGCAUUGCACGGUGAUCCUACCCGCAUGCUUAAGAGGAUCAUUUCCUCUUUUUCCCAUCCCUCCUUCCAUCUAUCUGGGAUUUUCCAUCUGGGACUUUGAGCCAACCACGGCCAACUAUUCAGGUUUUUUUAGUCCACUUUUACAGACUACUGCCCCCCAUUGGUUCCUGACGAAGCCCCCUUGGGCGAAACUAGUAGAACCGUUACAUGUGGGAUGAAAUGAAGAUCACCUGCAUCU